GGUCAAAUUGGACUUCUUCUGGGAUCAGGAACGAAUCAGUCCUACAUCCAUCCUGUGAGCACCCAUGGUGUGCAUUCUUCCUCUGUUCCGCAUUCACAUUCAGUAGGAAAUGAACUGAAUUCAUUCUGUGGGAAGUGAACUUCUGCAACAGCUGUCCAAAUCAAGGGCAGAAGUCUGAGGGUCUUUUAUGUGAUUGGUGUCAACUUAAAAAGAGGGCUCCCUCUGUUUCAGGAAUUGGUCCUACACUUCUUGAACCACUUGAUCCCAAAAGCAACCCUGACAGAACAUCUGAUUCUCCAUCACAAGGCAAUGGAUUCCAGAUGGAUGGUGGUAAUAAUCCUAAAGUAAACCAGAGCAGAAGAGAUUCAAGAAGAACUGAGACUCAAUUCGUCUGCCAUCGGAUGGAAAUUCCACCUGCAGGCUGCCCACAAACACUCCAUCUAUGGCCUUCCAACCUGUUCUUCAGCCUUUCUCUCCCUUUCUUUAGUGACACUUUUGUUCCUAAGAAUUUCCAAGAGGCAGAACUGGUACUUGAGAGCUCUACUGUCCACCUAGGUAGUCACUGGCCACCUGGUGGAUCCUUAAACUUAACCAAUAAAAAUAAAAUUAAACUAAAAAUUAGUUUCCUGGUCACACUCAGCACCUUUUACAUGCCCUGUUGUUACAUUUAAGCCACAGGUGGUUAGCGCUACCUGAUUGGAAUCCACAGACAUAGGGCAUUUUCAUUCUCAUAGGAAGGUCUAUUGGGCUGCACCGAACUCCAGUCUUAUUAAUAGAAUUCGGGUCUUCAAGAUAUAGCUCCUCAGCAUGGGAAAAACGUGCUUUCCUGUAAAAAUCCCCAAAGUGAAAACAUAAUGAACAUAUUGCCAUUUCAUUUUAUUUUCUUUUUCAGAGAGUCUUUAUCACCGAAUAAGGAUUAAUUCUCUUAUGGACUUUAGUUAUGGCAAUCAAGCACUUUUUGUUAGUCAGCUUUCUAUCACUGUGACAAAAAACCUGAGGUAAUAAAUUUUUAAGGAAAAAAGGCUUAUGUUGGCUCUUGGUUUCAAAGGUUUUAGUCCAUGGUCACCUGGCCCUGUUGCUUUGGGCUUGUGGUAGCACAGUACUUCAUGGCCAGAGUAAGUGUCAAAGGAGUCUGUUCACCGCAUGGUGGCUGGGAAAUAAAGAGAAAGAUAGGAAAGGCUGGAGUCUCGAUAUCUCCUUCAAGGUCAUGCUCCCAGUGACCCAACUUCUUCCGACUUAAAGGUCCCUCUGUCUCCCAUUAACAGCACAAGCUGGUGAGCAGGCUUUCAACACAGGGUCCUUUGGGGGUUCACCAGAUCAUAACAGAUCCUAACCAAGAAAGAUUCUAAGCAAUAAAGAAAUCAUACCUGCCAAUGUGUAGGGGACAU
RNAcentral lists this long non-coding RNA (1388 nucleotides) under Ictidomys tridecemlineatus (thirteen-lined ground squirrel). Its description in RNAcentral is "lncRNA (ENSSTOG00000034473.1)". The record is from RNAcentral. Lineage: Eukaryota; Metazoa; Chordata; Mammalia; Rodentia; Sciuridae.